RNAcentral lists this ribosomal RNA (473 nucleotides) under uncultured bacterium. RNAcentral describes it as "bacterial SSU rRNA". It matches the Rfam family "Bacterial small subunit ribosomal RNA", at positions 329 to 794 of the family's 1533-position model. The record is from RNAcentral.
UGCCAGACUCCUACGGGAGGCAGCAGUUAGGAAUAUUCGGCAAUGGGGGAAACCCUGACCGAGCAAUGCCGCGUGUGAGAUGACGGCCCUAUGGGUUGUAAAUCACUUUUAUUUGGGAAGAAUUGUAAGCAUAGGAAAUGAUGUUUACUUGACGGUACCUUUUGAAUAAGCCCCGGCUAACUACGUGCCAGCAGCCGCGGUAAUACGUAGGGGGCGAGCGUUAUCCGGAUUUAUUGGGCGUAAAGCGUGCGUAGGCGGCUUGUUAAGUCCAGAAUUAAAGCCCGAGGCUUAACCUCGGUUCGUUCUGGAUACUGGCAAGCUUGAGUAUGGUAGAGGCAAAUGGAAUUCCUAGUGUAGCGGUGAAAUGCGUAGAUAUUAGGAGGAACACCAGUGGCGAAGGCGAUUAACUGGACCGUAACUGACGCUGAGGCACGAAAGUGUGGGUAGCAAACAGGAUUAGAUACCCGCGUAAU